RNAcentral lists this microRNA (20 nucleotides) under Macrophomina phaseolina MS6. Its description in RNAcentral is "miR-466i-5p". Lineage: Eukaryota; Fungi; Ascomycota; Dothideomycetes; Botryosphaeriales; Botryosphaeriaceae. The record is from RNAcentral.
UGUGUGUGUGUGUAUGUGUG